UGGGGAAUUUUGGACAAUGGGCGCAAGCCUGAUCCAGCCAUGCCGCGUGAGUGAUGAAGGCCUUCGGGUUGUAAAGCUCUGUCGGAGGGAACGAACAAGAGCGACCUAACACGUCGUUCUCUGACGGUACUCUCAAAGGAAGCACCGGCUAACUCUGUGCCAGCAGCCGCGGUAAGACAGAGGGUGCAAGCGUUGUUCGGAAUCACUGGGCGUAAAGGGAGUGUAGGCGGUAAGGUGUGUUCGGCGUGAAAGACCUCGGCUUAACCGGGGAAGUGCACUGAAUACUACCUUACUUGAGUGUGAGAGGGGAUGGCGGAAUUGUCAGUGUAGAGGUGAAAUGCGUAGAUAUCAAGAGGAACACCUGAGGUGAAGACGGGUUGCUGGGCUGACACUGACGCUGAGGCGCGAAAGCCAGGGGAGCAAACGGGAUUAGAUACCCCGGUAGUCCCUGAGCGGGCUGGCAAGGCGCAU
Molecule: ribosomal RNA, 471 nt
Filed under: uncultured bacterium
Lineage: Bacteria
Description: bacterial SSU rRNA
Rfam family: Bacterial small subunit ribosomal RNA
Source: RNAcentral